CGAAAGCCUGACGGAGCAACGCCGCGUGAGGGAGGAAGGCUCUUGGGUUGUAAACCUCUUUUACUUGGGAAGAAGAUCUGACGGUACCAAGCGAAUCAGCAUCGGCUAACUCCGUGCCAGCAGCCGCGGUAAUACGGAGGAUGCAAGCGUUAUCCGGAAUUAUUGGGCGUAAAGCGUCCGCAGGUGGUGAUUCAAGUCCGUGGUCAAAGACUGAAGCUUAACUUCAGAUAGGCCAUGGAAACUGAAUGACUAGAGGUCAGUAGGGGUAGCAGGAAUUCCCAGUGUAGCGGUGAAAUGCGUAGAGAUUGGGAAGAACAUCGGUGGCGAAAGCGUGCUACUGGGCUGAAUCUGACACUGAGGGACGAAAGCU
RNAcentral lists this ribosomal RNA (370 nucleotides) under uncultured cyanobacterium. Its description in RNAcentral is "bacterial SSU rRNA". It matches the Rfam family "Bacterial small subunit ribosomal RNA", at positions 376 to 761 of the family's 1533-position model. The record is from RNAcentral. Lineage: Bacteria; Bacillati; Cyanobacteriota.